RNAcentral lists this ribosomal RNA (567 nucleotides) under uncultured delta proteobacterium. RNAcentral's name for it is "bacterial SSU rRNA". It matches the Rfam family "Bacterial small subunit ribosomal RNA", at positions 37 to 587 of the family's 1533-position model. Lineage: Bacteria; Deltaproteobacteria. The record is from RNAcentral.
UGGCGGCGUGCCUAACACAUGCAAGUCGAGCGCGAAUGGAGCAAUCCUAGUAGAGCGGCGCACGGGUGAGUAACACGUGGGUAAUCUGCCUGGAAGUCCGGGACAACCUGCCGAAAGGCUGGCUAAUACCGGAUAAGCCCACAGGGUCUUCGGACCCCGAGGGAAAAGAUGGCCUCUGCAUGCAAGCUAUCACUUCCAGAUGAGCCCGCGACCCAUCAGCUAGUUGGCGGGGUAAUGGCCCACCAAGGCAACGACGGGUAGCUGGUCUGAGAGGACGAUCAGCCACACUGGAACUGAGACACGGUCCAGACUCCUACGGGAGGCAGCAGUGGGGAAUUUUGCGCAAUGGGCGAAAGCCUGACGCAGCAACGCCGCGUGUGUGAUGAAGGUCUUCGGAUCGUAAAGCACUUUCGACUGGGACGAAAACCCGCUGGCUAACAUCCAGCGGUCUGACGGUACCGGGAGAAGAAGCACCGGCUAACUCUGUGCCAGCAGCCGCGGUAAUACAGAGGGUGCAAGCGUUGUUCGGAAUUAUUGGGCGUAAAGCGCGUGUAGCGGCUUUGCAAG